RNAcentral lists this ribosomal RNA (776 nucleotides) under uncultured beta proteobacterium. RNAcentral describes it as "bacterial SSU rRNA". It matches the Rfam family "Bacterial small subunit ribosomal RNA", at positions 34 to 801 of the family's 1533-position model. Lineage: Bacteria; Pseudomonadati; Pseudomonadota; Betaproteobacteria. The record is from RNAcentral.
CGCUGGCGGCAUGCCUUACACAUGCAAGUCGGACGGCAGCACGGGAGCAAUCCUGGUGGCGAGUGGCGAACGGGUGAGUAAUAUAUCGGAACGUGCCCAGUCGUGGGGGAUAACGCAGCGRAAGCUGUGCUAAUACCGCAUACGAUCUCUGGAUGAAAGCGGGGGACUCAGCAAUGGGCCUCGCGCGAUUGGAGCGGCCGAUAUCASAUUAGCUAGUUGGUGGGGUAAAAGCCCACCAAGGCGACGAUCUGUAGCUGGUCUGAGAGGACGACCAGCCRCACUGGAACUGAGACACGGUCCAGACUCCUACGGGAGGCAGCAGUGGGGAAUUUUGGACAAUGGGCGAAAGCCUGAUCCAGCAAUGCCGCGUGCAGGACGAAGGCCUUCGGGUUGUAAACUGCUUUUGUACGGAACGAAACGGUUCUCCUUAAUACGGAGGGCUAAUGACGGUACCGUAAGAAUAAGCACCGGCUAACUACGUGCCAGCAGCCGCGGUAAUACGUAGGGUGCGAGCGUUAAUCGGAAUUACUGGGCGUAAAGCGUGCGCAGGCGGUUAUAUAAGACAGAUGUGAAAUCCCCGGGCUCAACCUGGGACCUGCAUUUGUGACUGUAUAGCUAGAGUACGGUAGAGGGGGAUGGAAUUCCGCGUGUAGCAGUGAAAUGCGUAGAUAUGCGGAGGAACACCGAUGGCGAAGGCAAUCCCCUGGACCUGUACUGACGCUCAUGCACGAAAGCGUGGGGAGCAAACAGGAUUAGAUACCCUGGUAGUCCACGCC